Salvelinus sp. IW2-2015 is the source of this 745-nucleotide non-coding RNA. The record is from RefSeq and is a predicted model, not a curated record. NCBI's taxonomy places the organism in Eukaryota, Metazoa, Chordata, Actinopteri, Salmoniformes, Salmonidae.
GAUGAGUGUGCACAGAAAGACACAGCCUGCUGCUAACGAUACGGUGUGUUUCAACGUGGACGGAGGCUACGACUGCAGGUGUCCUCACGGCAAGAACUGCAACCGGUGACUGUAACCAUGACAACAAGCACAAACACCAACGGGCAGAUCUGGGUGCUGGACAACGACAGGUGCUCCGUUUGCUCCUGCCAGUCUGGUCUGGUGAUGUGUCGUAGGAUGGUGGUGUGACUGUUGAGUCCACCACUGCCGACCUGCUUCUGGCUGUCCAGAGUGUAACCCCGGCCUCAGCAGCCAGUGUCUGCACCAGAACAGACUCAUUACAUAUCAGCAGUGGAGACACCUGGGUGGAGAACUGCCAGCAGUGCCAGUGUCUGAGUGGAGAGGUGGACUGCUGCCCGUGUCCUGCCCUCCUGUGGUGGACUGUGAGUUUACCCAGGUGCCCGAGGGGCAGUGCUGCCCGCGCUGCGUCGCCGACCCCCUGCCAGGCUGACACCGUCCGUAACGACAUCACCAAGACGUGUGUGGACGAGAACGGACUGACGCGCUUCAGCGAGCCGCCUGGACCAAACACAGAACAGAAUGCACCCUCUGCCAGUGCAAGAACGGACACGUCUGUUGUUCAGUGGACCCCUGUGCCUUUAGUCUGGCUCAGACAGAAAAGAUAGUGAGAGAGAGCUCUACAAGGCAUCUAUCUUUGUACAGUCUCACCUUUAAUAAGAACUGAAACCCCUUCCCCAAACCUUCA